CGGGGGCAGGUACACCUCCACCUUCAGCUUCAGACUACAGGAGAAACAAAAAUAAAAAAAAUCUUAGGUCAGACAGCAAAAACGAAAGUUGUCAACUAAAAGCGGCCGAGAGGUAAACAUUAAGACAUGAAGAAAGUUACCUCAGUUAAAUAUGCAGGCAUGGGACUGAGUGAAUCCAUGGAGAGAGGUCUGAGUUGUUCAGCCGAGAGGUCGAGCUGAGAAGGUUUUUUUUUUUUUGACAAGUAGAAGAAGCUCUCAAGGGUUUAGGGUUCAGAGGAAAUAACUGAGAGAUGAGUGUUUAAUAGGAGUUAACCGGAAAAGAUCCAGAGAAGUGAAGAGGAGUUAGUGUUUCUCUGAGUAGAGUGAGAAAGAGAGAGAAGACCAAGUGUGGAAGAGAGUAGAGACCGCUCGAAAGUCGGGUGUUUUGUCUGAAGGCCGAAGGUGGAGUUAAUUGGGCUUGCUUUUCAACAGCAACACGGCUGGGCUUUCUGUGCUGGGCCCGAAUGGUUUUCACAGAAUAACUAAAGCGGAUGGGCCAAUUUAAUGGUGAGGCCCAUAUGUAUCAAGUUAUAUAAUUCAAGGUAAUCGAUCGCUCGUCCAUGUGAAGUUAUAUAAGUCGAGGUUUAUAUAUUUUGAUUGAUUUGGAAAUCUAUAUAGUAUUCAUAAAUCCAAGUAAAAUAUGUAAAUCUGGAGGUUUUCCUCGGAU
This 706-nucleotide long non-coding RNA is filed under the name Brassica napus (rape). RNAcentral's name for it is "long non-coding RNA (BNAP_LNC007846)". Lineage: Eukaryota; Viridiplantae; Streptophyta; Magnoliopsida; Brassicales; Brassicaceae. The record is from RNAcentral.